UUGGGCUCGCUCCAGCAGGAAGUGGGUAAGGGCGCAGUCAUAAUAGGGCUCAUAACGCAACACCUGAACCAACUGAAGCAAGUACUGUGACAGCUCUUCGUUACUUAAGAAGAACAAGAGGGAAGCGAGAGCUUCUUGAGAAUCAAGCACAUGAGUGACUCACCACGGGAACCCUUCUUUUUGGAGGUAGGGGCAGAGGUGGGUUGGAGGACUUGCGACUGACUACUGCCCCAAUGGCGGUGAUUUCCUUUUCAAACAUGGCCUUGACUGUACUGGAGGAAACCAGGGUAAGGUGUGGAGACUCCCUUGCCUGCAUACACGUGCGUAUAUACUACACACAGGAAAGGAUACACUACAUUGAAUAACCAAUGACAAUUGAAUAAACAUUUAUCUGAUACAUAUUGAAAAUGCCAUGCUUGGAUAUAAUAAGCAGUAAAGCUUUUUUAAUUAAUUUUAUUCUGACAGCAAUAUGAUUGUAUAGGCUCCAUAUUUUUGUAUCUGUAUCAGUACUAAACGUAUUUUAAUACUUUUUCCAAAUAAGACGAGGACACAAAAAAUGUCAUUAAUGACUAUUAUUUUUUCUUCAUAAAGUUGAUUAGUAAACACAAUGAAAUGACACAAAGACAAUCAUUUCAUAGCCACACAACUUUCAAAUGAAUAAAAAAACUAACAUUUUCUUAAUGCAUUCAUUAACAUUUUUAGAAACAGUGAAAGUACAAGUCUUUUCUUAUUGCACUCAUUUUUUUCCAAGUCAAAACACUGGCAUAAAGUCCUUUGUGACAUUUGUCUCCGUGCACCUGUGUCUGCCUCUCUAACAGUCUCAUCAAUCUAUUCUUGAUUCAACAUUAAAUCUUCAUCUUAACUUGCAAUCAAACACACUCACUGACCUUGUAUUCACAGAGCGCAUGGUCUCCACAGAGGAACUCCAUGCAAUGGCUGACUCUCAGGACAUACUGUCCUCUCCAUGCCUCCUCCUCAUGCCCAUGAGUGGUCAACCACUUCCUUACAGCCAGUUCUAUCAGCUCGACAGCGUUGCAGGAUGCAGGCACUUUCAAACAGGCAGAAUCCUUCAGGAAAAACAAUAAAAUAUAUGAUUGUGUUUAUCACUGCAACACUUGUAGUUCUAAAAUGUACAUAAAUCCUAAUGAAGAAAUCCUGGUCAGCAUGAAAUGCUUUACUAAAUGUUUUGUGUUUAUGUAAAAAUGUAACGACUAAAAACACAAGUCACACAUGUGCGUGUUGAAUCAACUCAGACGGAUGGGUCAAUAUGUUCUGAAUGAAACAGGGAGGCUUACUGUUGUAUUCUAAUUAUAGCUCAGUACUGACCCGAUUCCUGAGAUGGAAUUAAAAUUUCCUGGCGAUAUAAUCGAAUUGCAUCAAUAAAUUAACAGAAGCGUUUUGGAAAAGAUGCAGGGGCAUACCGCACAAAUCUUUAUGUUGAAACAACAUCAGCAUAAAUAUGAAAACAUCAAUAGAGAUCAGAGGCUACAUGGCUGACAAACUAAAUGAAAUCCCUAAAGGAAGACUCGCACCAAUGAACAAUGAUCAUGUUUGCUUUACAACAAUAACACACUUCCUGCCCAUAUUACAUCUUAUUGUGUCUGACCUUCCAAAUAAAACUUUCUGCCAAUUUUCACUUGA
Molecule: long non-coding RNA, 1641 nt
Organism: Syngnathus typhle (broad-nosed pipefish)
Lineage: Eukaryota; Metazoa; Chordata; Actinopteri; Syngnathiformes; Syngnathidae
Exons: 2
Source: RefSeq, a predicted model, not a curated record